AGAGUUUGAUCCUGGCUCAGGAUGAACGCUGGCGGCGUGCCUAAUACAUGCAAGUCGAACGAGGAACUUUUGUAUUCGUACAGAGGUUUCCUAGUGGCGAACGGGUGAGUAACGCGUUGGUGACCUGCCCCGAAGAGAGGGAUAACAGUUCGAAAGAACCGCUAAUACCUCAUGUGAUCAUAAGGAUUAGAUGCCUUUUGAUUAAAUGGAUUUAUUCGCUUCGGGAGGGGCCUGCGUCCCAUCAGCUAGUUGGUAGGGUAAUGGCCUACCAAGGCGAUGACGGGUAGGGGACCUGAGAGGGUGACCCCCCACACUGACACUGAAACACGGGUCAGACACCUACGGGUGGCAGCAGUAGGGAAUAUUGGUAAUGGGCGAAAGCCUGAACCAGCAACGCCGCGUGCGCGAUGAAGGCCUUCGGGUUGUAAAGCGCUUUUUGAGGGGAUGAGGAAGGACAGUACCCUCAGAAUAAGCCUCGGCUAACUAUGUGCCAGCAGCCGCGGUACAACGUAGGAGGCAAGCGUUAUUCGGAUUUACUGGGCGUAAAGCGUGUGCAGGCGGCUCGAUAAGUUGGAUGUGAAAGCUCCUGGCUCAACUGGGAGAGGUCGUUCAAUACUGUCGGGCUAGAGGAUGAGAGAGGGAGGUGGAAUUCCAGGUGUAGUGGUGGAAUGCGUAGAUAUCUGGAGGAACACCAGUGGCGAAGGCGGCCUCCUGGCUCAUUUCUGACGCUAAGACGCGAAAGCUAGGGUAGCAAACGGGAUUAGAGACCCCGGUAGUCCUAGCUGUAAACGAUGUAGACUUGGCGUUGGUGGGGUAAAAUCCAUCAGUGCCGUAGCUAACGCGAUAAGUCUACCGCCUGGGGACUACGAUCGCAAGAUUAAAACUCAAAGGAAUUGACGGGUCCCCGCACAAGCAGCGGAGCGUGUGGUUUAAUUCGAUAUACGCGAAGAACCUUACCAGGGUUUGACAUAUAAGUGGUAGGGAUCCGAAAGGUGACCGACCCUUCGGGGAGCUUAUACAGGUGCUGCAUGGCUGUCGUCAGCUCGUGUCGUGAGAUGUUCGGUUAAGUCCGCUAACGAGCGCAACCCUCGUCGUGUGUUACAAGUGUCACGCGAGACCGCCGGUUUCAAGCCGGAGGAAGGUGAGGAUGACGUCAAGUCAGCAUGGCCUUUAUAUCCUGGGCUACACACACGCUACAAUGGCUGGUACAAUUGGUCGCGAAACCGCGAGGUGGAGCCAAUCCUUAAAGCCAGCCUCAGUUCAGAUUGUAGGCUGCAACUCGCCUGCAUGAAGAUGGAGUUGCUAGUAAACGCAGGUCAGCAACACUGCGUUGAAUACGUUCCCGGGAUUGUACACACCGCCCGUCACGUCAUGGAAGCUGGCAACACCUGAAGUCAGUAUCCUAACCCGCAAGGGAGGGAGCUGCCGAGGGUGGGGUUGGUAACUGGGACGAAGUCGAAACAAGGUA
This 1468-nucleotide ribosomal RNA is filed under the name metagenome. Its description in RNAcentral is "bacterial SSU rRNA". It matches the Rfam family "Bacterial small subunit ribosomal RNA". The record is from RNAcentral.